Molecule: long non-coding RNA, 635 nt
Organism: Dendrobium catenatum
Lineage: Eukaryota; Viridiplantae; Streptophyta; Magnoliopsida; Asparagales; Orchidaceae
Exons: 2
Source: RefSeq, a predicted model, not a curated record
UUUUCUCAUUUAUAAAAAGCCACUCCGUCCCUCUCUACGUGAAAUCCUGCUGGCUUUACUUCGGAAGGUCGUCCAUGCGCCGAACCCUAGUUUUUUCACUCUUCGGACAUUCGCCAUCCCUAGUGGACGACGCCGCCUCACCUUCCUUUGCCAGGUAUCCUCCUCGAUUUGUGAAAUGAGUUCGAGCCAGUCGACGACAUCAAUGCGAAACCUGGACAUCCCUAUUUAUUGUCAUUGUAAUCUACAAUGUUAAAUUUUUACUUACUAUAAACCGAACAAUCGUGGCAGAAAAAUUCUACCGAUGCUCGCGUAACAGAUCAGAGGAUGAUUGUCGAUUUUUUAGGUGGGUCGACGUACGAAAUGAUUUAUCAGAAGAAAUGAAUCAUUUUACAAAUGCAAAUGAAGCUGAAAUCCGUUCCAACCAGCCUGUCGCAGUUACAAAUGAUUUUUUUCAAAAUAAAAUGUUAUUGGUGGUCCUAAUUUUGCUUGUUGUGAUUGACUUGAAUAUGAUAUCAAGGUGUUGUAGUUGUAAAUUAGUAGAACUGUGCUUUUGCAUUUUAUAGUUGACUUUAAGUUUAUAUCAAAGUGUAGUAAUAGUAACUAAGACGCUAAUAAUGCAAUUUGUUUUUGCUAUU